GAAAAUCAGUAUCCUUUAAUGGGAAGAAUUCAAGUUUCUGCAUAGCUAUUUCUUUUUGUGAUGGGGCAACAUGAUAUAUUCAAUCCUCUGCAUUUUUUCUGGCUAAGACUCUAUGAAUAAAGUACUCAAUCCUCUGUUCUUCCGUGUGAGGACAAUAUGGCUACGAAUAUUUAAACCUCUGCGGCUCCACGUGGUACCAAAAUCUACCGUCAAUUCGAGGAGGUAAGUAUUUCAUCUCAACUAUGUUGCACUUGUCUGUGUAUUGUUAUAUUUUGACAUUGGUCUAUUAGCAAUGGGUAAGUUUUUUUUCUUCUACUUAUGUAAUUGUCUUGAAAAUGUUAGGUCAUUCAAGAAUAAAUUAAUGUCUGUUUGUCUCACUGUGUUCUAACUAUAUUUUUAGGUGAUUGAUUCUUAACAGGGAAGUAUUGCAGAAAUCCAGUGUAUAUAUGAGAUCUUUCCCACGUUUGAUCAGAUAAGUGUUCUAACUAUUCAACUAUUAGCCUGUCUUUCCAGCUUCAUAAGGCCAAGAACUGGAACUAUGUACAUGAUCUAUCUCAGGUUCGACUUCUCUCUAUCUUCCUUGGUGUCUAAUACUGUAGUAUUAUUGUUUGCGUUUGAUUGUCUUAGUUGAAUUCUACAUCUGCUUGAUCUUAAGAAAGACAAUUCCAUAUUUGAUGAAGUUUUCAUCUCUCUGUCCACAUUUCAGCAGUUUUUGCUUGGUUCUUUAGAGAACACCAUGAAGUCAUGUGAUUAAAUGCACUGUUCAUAAAGUUUCAUAUACUUGAGCGGAAUUCAAUGAGACACCGGUGGAGGCUGUUGGAUCAUGUGGAAAGUACUGUUUGCAGUCUCCUGAAGUGUGUCCGACUCUUUAUUUGAAAAUUGAGCUAUUGUAGAUCAGCAAAUUUUGAUCAGGAUUUAAAGGAGUCCACGCACGAGAAGUUAAGAGGCGGCUAUUGCAUCAUCUUCUUCUUCUUCAAAACCUGAGAACAAGCUAGUUGGCUUUUGCGGUGUACAAAGACAUUCUUGAAUUUGUGUCUUCAGGAAAACAAUGCUCUGGCUUUUUUCUCAGGUAUGCUCUUCUUCUUCGACUUUCAAUUUUCAGUACUUGGUAGCUGCGUAAUAAACACAAACAUAAACACACCCAACACAAAUGCUAACGCAAACAAGAAUGUAAAUACACACAAAAGCAAAAACUCAAUCACAAGAAUGUGAAUACACACAAAUAUAUACAAAUGUCCAAGACAAAACGCAAAAGUCCCAACACAAAUGUAAAUAUUAGGUGGAAGCAAACUGUUAAGUGCAAACAUAGGGACAAACCUAAAAUAUUGAAAGCAAAUUGAACCACUUUUUUCACACACGUACAUAAAUUAUUGAAUUUACUUAAAUACUUUAAUCAGUAGAUAUAUUUGUGACCUAUAUUGUUAAUAACAAGCACUCAUCAUACCUAAAUUACAAAGCAACCCUACGUGAAAUGCUUAACCAACUGGACCGAUUCA
This is a long non-coding RNA of Arabidopsis lyrata subsp. lyrata, 1496 nucleotides long. RefSeq lists it as uncharacterized. The transcript has 6 exons. NCBI's taxonomy places the organism in Eukaryota, Viridiplantae, Streptophyta, Magnoliopsida, Brassicales, Brassicaceae. The record is from RefSeq and is a predicted model, not a curated record.